RNAcentral lists this long non-coding RNA (575 nucleotides) under Lathyrus oleraceus (garden pea). Its description in RNAcentral is "Pisum sativum (pea) long non-coding RNA (PSAT_LNC003126)". The record is from RNAcentral. Lineage: Eukaryota; Viridiplantae; Streptophyta; Magnoliopsida; Fabales; Fabaceae.
UUGUUGAUGUUGUUGUUUACUUGUGCACACUGAUAUGAUAAAGGCAGUUUUAUUUUUUUGUUUUUUAGCCAGUUAGCCAAAAAGCCAACCCUGAAAUAAUAUCAUCCCUUGUUUGAAACCCCCUUGAGCCUAUUAUCCUUUUUUUGUUUAAAACUCAUUACAAAUCGAGAAGUUAAAAACAAUGUUAUAUUACCCUAUUCAAAGGGUUGAAAGAGUCUUGUUUGGAGUUGUGUGGGGUUGAAUAAUUAUGUUUGCAAUAUUUCAGAAGUUGGUAGAAAAAGAAAAGAAAAAUAGAAAAAGAAAAUAGAAAAGAAAAAAAAUGAAUGAAAAAAAAUAGAAGGAUGUAUACAUGUCAAUACAUACUCCUUAUGAAAAAGAAAAAAAAAAAGAAAAGAAAAAAAAAGAGAAAGGAGAAAAAAUUGAAUGAAAACAGUUAAUAUAGAGUUGUUGAAGUGAAUUAAAUAUUUUGUAAAUUCAACUCCCGCAGUUUCUUUCAAGUCUCUUUUGUCUCUUUGAAUUUUAGCCUAGUACCCCUUAGGAUUUAUCUCACCCUUACCUUGGCCACGUUACAACCA